UAGCCCUGGCCGGCUGGAAACUCACCAAG
RNAcentral lists this non-coding RNA (29 nucleotides) under Cricetulus griseus (Chinese hamster). The record is from RNAcentral. Lineage: Eukaryota; Metazoa; Chordata; Mammalia; Rodentia; Cricetidae.